This 496-nucleotide ribosomal RNA is filed under the name uncultured bacterium. RNAcentral's name for it is "partial 16S ribosomal RNA". It matches the Rfam family "Bacterial small subunit ribosomal RNA", at positions 28 to 506 of the family's 1533-position model. The record is from RNAcentral.
GAUGAACGCUGGCGGCGUGCCUAAUACAUGCAAGUCGAGCGAACAGACGAGGAGCUUGCUCCUCUGACGUUAGCGGCGGACGGGUGAGUAACACGUGGAUAACCUACCUAUAAGACUGGGAUAACUUCGGGAAACCGGAGCUAAUACCGGAUAAUAUAUUGAACCGCAUGGUUCAAUAGUGAAAGACGGUUUUGCUGUCACUUAUAGAUGGAUCCGCGCCGCAUUAGCUAGUUGGUAAGGUAACGGCUUACCAAGGCAACGAUGCGUAGCCGACCUGAGAGGGGGAUCGGCCACCCUGGAACUGCGAACCGGCCCAGCCCCCCACGGGAGGCAGCAGUAGGGAAUCUUCCGAAAUGGGCAAAAGCCUGACGGGGCAACGCCGCGGGAGGAAUGAAGGUUUUCGGAUCGUAAAACCCUGUUUUUGGGGAAAAAAAAAUUUUAAAGUAACGAUGCCCCUCUGGAGGGUACCUAAUCAGAAAGCCACGGCUAACUACGU